Molecule: ribosomal RNA, 513 nt
Filed under: Araneae sp. NZAC 03011666
Lineage: Eukaryota; Metazoa; Arthropoda; Arachnida; Araneae
Description: eukaryotic LSU rRNA
Rfam family: Eukaryotic large subunit ribosomal RNA (bases 294-513)
Source: RNAcentral
UGAAGGGCGAACGACGGCAGGUGGCCGGUGGCCUUCCCCGUGUUGGUCGCCGGUUGUUAGCCGGUUCGUCAGUGGCACGUCGCUCGACCGAGGUAUCACGAGGCCCCUCGGGGCUCUCACGUCUCCUCCCCACGGAAGCGGGACAGAACGUCGCAAGCGAAGGCAGCCGUCCCGUCGCACUCACGAGAGUGGACGGGCGAACUCUCGGCGCCGUUGGCGACGGCGGGCCCGCGGGAGGCAGGAGGCUCGCGGCGAGUAGGUCGGUCACCCACCCGACCCGUCUUGAAACACGGACCAAGGAGUCUAACAUGUGCGCGAGUCAAUGGGUCUUGAACAGGCCCAGAGGCGCAAUGAAAGCAAAGGUCGACGCACGUCGACCGAGUUGGGAUCCCUCGUUUCAAAGCGAGGGCGCACCAACGACCCGUCCUAUCCGGUUCGCCGGUUGGGCGGAGUGUGAGCGUACACGUUGGGACCCGAAAGAUGGUGAACUAUGCCCGGACAGGACGAGGCCAG